Molecule: ribosomal RNA, 279 nt
Filed under: uncultured bacterium
Lineage: Bacteria
Description: partial 16S ribosomal RNA
Rfam family: Bacterial small subunit ribosomal RNA
Source: RNAcentral
UGCCAGCCGCCGCGGUAAUACGGAGGGUCCAAGCGUUAUCCGGAUUCAUUGGGUUUAAAGGGUGCGUAGGCGGGAUAUUAAGUCAGUGGUGAAAGCCCACAGCUCAACUGUGGAACUGCCAUUGAAACUGAUAUUCUUGAAUAUGAUUGAAGUGGGCGGAAUAUGACAUGUAGCGGUGAAAUGCAUAGAUAUGUCAUAGAACACCGAUAGCGAAGGCAGCUCACUAAGUCAUCAUUGACGCUGAGGCACGAAAGCGUGGGGAGCGAACAGGAUUAGAUA